This 642-nucleotide ribosomal RNA is filed under the name uncultured bacterium. RNAcentral's name for it is "bacterial SSU rRNA". It matches the Rfam family "Bacterial small subunit ribosomal RNA", at positions 232 to 885 of the family's 1533-position model. The record is from RNAcentral.
CGCGGCCUAUCAGCUUGUUGGUGGGGUAAUGGCCUACCAAGGCGACGACGGGUAGCCGGCCUGAGAGGGCGACCGGCCACACUGGGACUGAGACACGGCCCAGACUCCUACGGGAGGCAGCAGUGGAAAUAUUGCACAAUGGGGGAAACCCUGAUGCAGCGACGCAGCGUGCGGGAUGACGGCCUUCGGGUUGUAAACCGCUUUCAGCAGGGAAGAAGCGAAAGUGACGGUACCUGCAGAAGAAGUACCGGCUAACUACGUGCCAGCAGCCGCGGUAAUACGUAGGGUACGAGCGUUGUCCGGAAUUAUUGGGCGUAAAGAGCUCGUAGGUGGUUGGUCACGUCUGCUGUGGAAGCGCAACGCUUAACGUUGCGCGUGCAGUGGGUACGGGCUGACUAGAGUGCAGUAGGGGAGUCUGGAAUUCCUGGUGUAGCGGUGAAAUGCGCAGAUAUCAGGAGGAACACCGGUGGCGAAGGCGGGACUCUGGGCUGUAACUGACACUGAGGAGCGAAAGCAUGGGGAGCGAACAGGAUUAGAUACCCUGGUAGUCCAUGCCGUAAACGUUGGGCACUAGGUGUGGGGGACAUUCCACGUUCUCCGCGCCGUAGCUAACGCAUUAAGUGCCCCGCCUGGGGAGUACGG